AUGGGCGCAAGCCUGAUCCCCCAUGCCGCGUGUGUGAAGAAGGCUCUUCGGUUGUAAAGCACUUUCAGUAGGGAGGAAGGCCAGAGUGUUAAUAGCGCUUUGGAUUGACGUUACCUACAGAAGCAGCACCGGCUAACUCCGUGCCAGCAGCCGCGGUAAUACGGAGGGUGCAAGCGUUAAUCGGAAUUACUGGGCGUAAAGCGCGCGUAGGCGGUUUGUUAAGUGUGAUGUGAAAGCCCAGGGCUCAACCUUGGAACUGCAUCACAUACUGGCAAGCUAGAGUACGGUAGAGGGGGG
RNAcentral lists this ribosomal RNA (297 nucleotides) under uncultured Gammaproteobacteria bacterium. Its description in RNAcentral is "partial 16S ribosomal RNA". It matches the Rfam family "Bacterial small subunit ribosomal RNA", at positions 371 to 661 of the family's 1533-position model. The record is from RNAcentral. Lineage: Bacteria; Pseudomonadati; Pseudomonadota; Gammaproteobacteria.